UGGGGAAUCUUGGACAAUGGGCGCAAGCCUGAUCCAGCCAUGCCGCGUGAGUGAAGAAGGCCUUCGGGUUGUAAAGCUCUUUUACCAGGGACGAUAAUGACGGUACCUGGAGAAUAAGCCCCGGCAAACUUCGUGCCAGCAGCCGCGGUAAUACGAAGGGGGCUAGCGUUGUUCGGAAUUACUGGGCGUAAAGCGCACGUAGGCUGAUUGUUAAGUCAGGGGUGAAAUCCCAGAGCUCAACUCUGGAACUGCCCUUGAUACUGGCAAUCUCGAGUCCGGAAGAGGUUAGUGGAAUUCCCAGUGUAGAGGUGAAAUUCGUAGAUAUUGGGAAGAACACCAGUGGCGAAGGCGGCUAACUGGUCCGGUACUGACGCUGAGGUGCGAAAGCGUGGGGAGCAAACAGGAUUAGAUACCCAGGUAGUCCCUGAGCGGGCUGGCAAGGCGCAU
This 447-nucleotide ribosomal RNA is filed under the name uncultured bacterium. RNAcentral describes it as "bacterial SSU rRNA". It matches the Rfam family "Bacterial small subunit ribosomal RNA", at positions 355 to 825 of the family's 1533-position model. The record is from RNAcentral.